CAUUUCCACGUGUAAUGUAUAGCCGACCUUCCAGGCAGGUCUAUAUGCAGCUGUACGACUCCGACACCCGCGGGUUGUGAAGCAGGAGAUUCUCGCCAGAUCCAGAGCCCAGCUGGAGAAUUCAAGAUGGAGAAGUAUGGGUGAGAUGUGCAUGAUAGCCCACUCUUCCUCUAGGAACUUCUAACCACUUUUCUUUAGUACAAGAGAGAUUUAAAUGAUUUUUUCCAACCCAAAAAAUCAUAUACUUGAGGGUUCUCAUUAUCCUGCUGCUCCCACCAAACUUUCCACCUCUCUGCACGUUUGUAUCCUUUGUGAAAACUUGCUCAGUUAUUUUAUGAACCUUAACAAGAUCCAAGACAUUGGAGCUCUAGUUCUUCAAGACUGGACAUCCUAGAGAAAAUCGAGGACUGUAGUGACUCAGGUUUUCUUAUUGUUAUCUAGUAAACCCCACAGCAGUGUCUUCAAUGCAUAUUGACUUCUGAAAAAACAUUUCAGUACGAUCUGCAGCAAAUUUCAAUUAAAUAUAC
Calypte anna (Anna's hummingbird) is the source of this 527-nucleotide long non-coding RNA. RefSeq lists it as uncharacterized. The record is from RefSeq and is a predicted model, not a curated record. The transcript has 3 exons. Lineage: Eukaryota; Metazoa; Chordata; Aves; Apodiformes; Trochilidae.